AACGAACGCUGGCGGCAUGCCUAACACAUGCAAGUCGAACGAGACCUUCGGGUCUAGUGGCGCACGGGUGCGUAACGCGUGGGAACCUGCCCUUAGGUUCGGAAUAACUCCCCGAAAGGGGUGCUAAUACCGGAUAAUGUCUUCGGACCAAAGAUUUAUCGCCUUUGGAUGGGCCCGCGUUGGAUUAGCUAGUUGGUAGGGUAAAAGCCUACCAAGGCGACGAUCCAUAGCUGGUCUGAGAGGAUGAUCAGCCACACUGGGACUGAGACACGGCCCAGACUCCUACGGGAGGCAGCAGUGGGGAAUAUUGGACAAGGGGCGAAAGCGUGAUCCAGCAAUGCCGCGUGAGUGAUGAAGGCCUUAGGGUUGUAAAGCUCUUUUAGCCGGGAUGAUAAUGACAGUACCGGGAGAAUAAGCUCCGGCUAACUCCGUG
Molecule: ribosomal RNA, 433 nt
Filed under: uncultured bacterium
Lineage: Bacteria
Description: partial 16S ribosomal RNA
Rfam family: Bacterial small subunit ribosomal RNA
Source: RNAcentral